AGAGUUUGAUCAUGGCUCAGGAUGAACGCUGGCGGCGUGCUUAACACAUGGAAGUCGAGCGAGAAAUCGGGAAAUGAAAUUUUGGUAGAUUUGAACGAUGGAAAGCGGCGGAGGGUGAGUAAUGGUGGGAAACUUGCCUUUUGCAGAGGGACAGCUGAGGGAAACUUCGAUUAAUACCUCAUAACGCAUCAUGCGUCGCAUGGCGGAGAUGCCAAAGAUUUAUCGGCAAGAGAUGGUCCCGCGUCUGAUUAGCUGGUUGGUGAGGUAGCGGCUCACCAAGGCGACGAUCAGUAGCCGGCCUGAGAGGGUGAACGGUCACAUUGGAACUGAGACACGGUCCAGACUCCUACGGGAGGCAGCAGUGGGGAAUAUUGCACAAUGGGCGCAAGCCUGAUGCAGCCACGCCGCGUGAAGGAUGAAGGCCGUCGGGUCGUAAACUUCUGUCCGAAGGGAAGAAUCAAUGACGGUACCUGUGGAGGAAGCCGCGGCUAACUACGUGCCAGCAGCCGCGGUAAUACGUAGGGGGCAAGCGUUAUCCGGAAUUACUGGGCGUAAAGAGUGCGUAGGUGGCACUGUAAGCGCAGGGUUUAAGGCAACGGCCCAACCGUUGUUUGCUCUGCGAACUGCAGAGCUUGAGUGCAGGAGGGGAAAGUGGAAUKYYCUGAGUGUAGCGGUGAAAUGCGUAGAUAUUASGAGGAACASCGGGUGGCGAAGSSRMYKUKCUGGACUGUAACUGACASYKRRGCACGAAAGCGUGGGUAGCAAACAGGAUUAGAUACSCUGSUAGUCMMSSYCGUAAACGAUGAGCACUAGGUGUCGGGCUCGCAAGAGUUCGGUGCCGGAGCAAACGCAUUAAGUGCUCCGCCUGGGGAGUACGCACGCAAGUGUGAAACUCAAAGGAAUUGACGGGGACCCGCACAAGCAGCCGGAGCAUGUGGUUUAAUUCGAAGCAACGCGAAGAACCUUACCAGGGCUUGACAUCCUCCUGACGUAUCGAGUAAUGCUGAUAUUCUCUUCGGAGCAGGAGUGACAGGUGGUGCAUGGUUGUCGUCAGCUCGUGUCGUGAGAUGUUGGGUUAAGUCCCGCAACGAGCGCAACCCCUGUUACUAGUUGCCAUCAUUGAGUUGGGCACUCUAGUGAGACUGCCGGGGACAACCCGGAGGAAGGCGGGGAUGACGUCAAAUCAUCAUGCCCCUUAUGUUCUGGGCGACACACGUGCUACAAUGGCUGUCACAGAGGGAUGCGAAGGAGCGAUCCGGAGCGAAACCCUAAAGGCAGUCCCAGUUCGGACUGCAGGCUGAAACCCGCCUGCACGAAGUCGGAGUUGCUAGUAAUCGCGGAUCAGAAUGCCGCGGUGAAUGCGUUCCCGGGUCUUGUACACACCGCCCGUCACACCAUGGAAGCUGGGGGUGCCCGAAGUCGGUCGCUAAUCAGACUGCCUAAGGCAAAACCAGUGACUGGGGGGAAGUCGUAACAAGGUAGCCGUA
This 1487-nucleotide ribosomal RNA is filed under the name uncultured rumen bacterium. Its description in RNAcentral is "bacterial SSU rRNA". It matches the Rfam family "Bacterial small subunit ribosomal RNA". The record is from RNAcentral.